AUGCACGCUGGCGGCGUGCCUAACACAUGCAAGUCGAACGGAGUCCAGCCUUUAAGACCUUCGGGUCAAAGAGGGGAAGACUGAGUGGCGGACGGGUGAGUAACACGUGGGCAACCUGGCUCAUAGAGGGGGAUAACAGAGAGAAAUUUCUGCUAAUACCGCAUAAGCACACACUGCCGCAUGGCAGAGGGUGAAAAGAGAAUCGCUAUGAGAUGGACCCGCGUCUGAUUAGCCAGUUGGCAGGGUAAGAGCCCACCAAAGCGACGAUCAGUAGCCGAUCUGAGAGGAUGAACGGCCACAUUGGGACUGAGACACGGCCCAAACUCCUACGGGAGGCAGCAGUGGGGGAUAUUGCACAAUGGGGGGAACCCUGAUGCAGCGACGCCGCGUGAGUGAAGAAGUAUUUCGGUAUGUAAAGCUCUAUCAGCAGGGAAGAUAAUGACAGUACCUGAAUAAGAAGCCCCGGCUAACUACGUG
Molecule: ribosomal RNA, 477 nt
Filed under: uncultured bacterium
Lineage: Bacteria
Description: partial 16S ribosomal RNA
Rfam family: Bacterial small subunit ribosomal RNA
Source: RNAcentral